GGAGUCUGGUCCGUGUCUCAGUACCAGUGUGGGGGACCUUCCUCUCAGAACCCCUAAGGAUCGAUGGCACGGUGGGCCGUUACCCCGCCGUCUACCUAAUCCCACGCAUCCCCAUCCAUGACCGAUGAAUCUUUACUGCAAUUCUGAUGCCAUCGUCGCAGAACAUCAGGUAUUAGGCUCCCUUUCGGAAGGUUAUCCCUGAGUCAUGGGCAGGUUGGAUACGCGUUACUCACCCGUGCGCCGGUCGCCAUCACAGAUAGCAAGCUACCUGCAUGCUGCCCCUCGACUUGCAUGUGUUAAGCCUGUAGCUAGCGUUCAUC
Molecule: ribosomal RNA, 320 nt
Filed under: uncultured Prevotella sp.
Lineage: Bacteria; Pseudomonadati; Bacteroidota; Bacteroidia; Bacteroidales; Prevotellaceae
Description: partial 16S ribosomal RNA
Source: RNAcentral